UGGGGAAUAUUGCACAAUGUGCGCAAGCCUGAUGCAGCCAUGCCGCGUGUGUGAAGAAGGCCUUCGGGUUGUAAAGCACUUUCAGCGGGGAGGAAGGCGAUAAGGUUAAUAACCUUGUCGAUUGACGUUACCCGCAGAAGAAGCACCGGCUAACUCUGUGCCAGCAGCCGCGGUAAUACGGAGGGUGCAAGCGUUAAUCGGAAUUACUGGGCGUAAAGCGCACGCAGGCGGUCUGUCAAGUCGGAUGUGAAAUCCCCGGGCUCAACCUGGGAACUGCAUUCGAAACUGGCAGGCUAGAGUCUUGUAGAGGGGGGUAGAAUUCCAGGUGUAGCGGUGAAAUGCGUAGAGAUCUGGAGGAAUACCGGUGGCGAGGGCGGCCCCCUGGACAAAGACUGACGCUCAGGUGCGAAAGCGUGGGGAGCAAACAGG
This 429-nucleotide ribosomal RNA is filed under the name Chloroflexota bacterium. Its description in RNAcentral is "Chloroflexi bacterium partial 16S ribosomal RNA". It matches the Rfam family "Bacterial small subunit ribosomal RNA", at positions 355 to 776 of the family's 1533-position model. The record is from RNAcentral. Lineage: Bacteria; Bacillati; Chloroflexota.